GCAGAACGCGAAGAACCUUACCUGGGUUUGACAUGGCCGCAAAACCGGCAGAGAUGUCGGGUCCUUCGGGGCGGUCACAGGUGGUGCAUGGCUGUCGUCAGCUCGUGUCGUGAGAUGUUGGGUUAAGUCCCGCAACGAGCGCAACCCUCGUUCGAUGUUGCCAGCGGUUCGGCCGGGGACUCAUCGAAGACUGCCGGGGUCAACUCGGAGGAAGGUGGGGAUGACGUCAAGUCAUCAUGCCCCUUAUGUCCAGGGCUUCACGCAUGCUACAAUGGCCGGUACAAUGGGCUGCGAUACCGUGAGGCGGAGCGAAUCCCAAAAAGCCGGUCUCAGUUCGGAUCGGGGUCUGCAACUCGACCCCGUGAAGUCGGAGUCGCUAGUAAUCGCAGAUCAGCAACGCUGCGGUGAAUACGUUCCCGGGUCUUGUACACACCG
Molecule: ribosomal RNA, 435 nt
Filed under: uncultured bacterium
Lineage: Bacteria
Description: bacterial SSU rRNA
Rfam family: Bacterial small subunit ribosomal RNA
Source: RNAcentral